Molecule: non-coding RNA, 72 nt
Organism: Phrynosoma platyrhinos (Desert horned lizard)
Lineage: Eukaryota; Metazoa; Chordata; Lepidosauria; Squamata; Phrynosomatidae
Source: the annotation of a GenBank genome assembly
GUCAGCAUGGUGUAAUGGUUUGAAUGUUGGGCUAUGGACCUGAAGACCAGGAUUCAAAUCCCUGAUCAGCCA